AUGAAAACAAGCUUGUUUUUCAGGCACAGUUGGGAAAGUAGAAAAAUGAAAAAAAACUCUCUGACUUAGGAGAAAGGAAAAGAAAGAGAGAAAGAAAGGAAGGAAGGAAGGAAGGAAGGAAGGAAGGAAGGAAGCCCUAAGGAAGGAAGGAAGAAAGAAAAAGAAAGAAAGAAAGAAAGAAAGAAAGAAAGAAAGAAAGAAAGAAAGAAAGAAAGAAAGAAAGAAAGAAAGAAAGAAAGAAAGAAAGAAAGAAAGAAAGAAAAUGGGCGUUUAGUGGACCACAAACUCAAUAUGAAUCAACAGUGUGAUAUUCAGGCAGCUAAAGAAGUUCACAGGAAAAAGAAUAAGCAUUUCUAUUGGGCCGGUCGCAUGCUAGACACUGUGCUAGG
Molecule: long non-coding RNA, 389 nt
Filed under: Monodelphis domestica (gray short-tailed opossum)
Lineage: Eukaryota; Metazoa; Chordata; Mammalia; Didelphimorphia; Didelphidae
Description: lncRNA (ENSMODG00000040140.1)
Source: RNAcentral